CGGCGCCCGGGUUCCCAGGGGCCGGAAGGAGGGCCAGAGAAGAGGGGGAAGGGGUUAGGAUUUCCUGACGACGAACCUCUGGAGGCCGGGAGGAGGGAGAUUUCUGCUCGCUUUUGGAAAAUUAAGACCACCUCUGGGCACAGCUGUGAAGCAGAGGAAGGAAAGAUAAGGAAAGAAGAAAGAAAAGAGAUUGAGAGGACUUGCCAGGUGCCAGGAACUGGUUUUGAGUACUUAAGAAAAAAAGCUGAUCUACACCCUCCCUGAACUGGUGUUAAACAUCACAUUCAUGGCAAAUGACCAAUGGACCCAAAACAAUGCCCUCUCAGAUGGAUAAAGCUUGAGGAUAUUUGAGUUAUGUAUGGUACAUACGGAAUAUUUAUAGUGAAGAAAGACUUCAUGUGUUGAAGGAAGGAUCCACUGAGUGCAUUAUUCAAGUGAUCAGUGACUGCUCCUCAGAGUCUAAAAUCAUCAUGGAUCUGCCUGUCUUUCACAAGAGCAUACUUACAGGAAACUAGUAUAACAAAAGUUAUUUCCUAUCUGAUUCAUCAUAUUUGGCUGCAUAAACUAGACUUUUCAUCUCUAUAAUAAAGUUUCUAAUGAAAAGAAAAAGAGGGAAAUUCUUACAAUGUAGAAGGUAAGACCUCAGAGAAGUAGAAGAUAUUUAUGAAGAAGCUCAAUUAUUUUGGCAAAUCUAACUCCUAAAAAGAAGCAGAAUUAUUUAACCUCUUUGAGACUCAAUUUCCUCAUUUGUAAUUAGAAUAAUGGCACUCAACUAAUAGAGGCUUUCUGAGGAUUAAGUUUGUUAUGUAAAGCAGUAAGCAUGAUACAUAAUAAAUGUUUAAUAAAUGUUCAGUAUAUGGA
Molecule: long non-coding RNA, 861 nt
Organism: Mustela lutreola (European mink)
Lineage: Eukaryota; Metazoa; Chordata; Mammalia; Carnivora; Mustelidae
Exons: 4
Source: RefSeq, a predicted model, not a curated record